GUUGACCUCGGAUCAGGUAGGAAUACCCGCUGAACUUAAGCAUAUCAAUAAGCGGAGGAAAAGAAACCAACAGGGAUUGCCUUAGUAACGGCGAGUGAAGCGGCAACAGCUCAAAUUUGAAAUCUGGCCCUCGGGUCCGAAUUGUAAUUUGUAGAGGAUGAUUUUGGUGCGGUAUCUUCCGAGUUCCUUGGAACAGGACGCCUUAGAGGGUGAGAGCCCCGUACGGUUGAAUGCCUAGCCUCUGUAAAUCUCCUUCGACGAGUCGAGUAGUUUGGGAAUGCUGCUCUAAAUGGGAGGUAAAUUUCUUCUAAAGCUAAAUAUUGGCCAGAGACCGAUAGCGCACAAGUAGAGUGAUCGAAAGAUGAAAAGCACUUUGAAAAGAGGGUUAAAUAGCACGUGAAAUUGUUGAAAGGGAAGGAUUUGUGACCAGACUUUUUCUGGGCGGAUCAUCCGGGGUUCUCUCCGGUGCACUUUGCCCAGUAAAGGCCAGCAUCGAUUUUCGGCGGCGGAUAAAAGCAGUGGGAAUGUGGCUCCCUACGGGGAGUGUUAUAGCCCAUUGUAUAAUACGCUGCUGGGGAUCGAGGUACGCGCUUCUGCAAGGAUGCUGGCGUAAUGGUUAUCAAUCACCCGUCUUGAAACACGGACCAAGGAGUCGAACAUUUAUGCGAGUGUUUGGGUGUUAAACCCUCACGCGUAAUGAAAGUGAACGGAGGUGAGAGCCCGUACGGGUGCAUCAUCGACCGAUCCUGAAGUUUUCGGAUGGAUUUGAGUAAGAGCAUAACUGUUCGGACCCGAAAGAUGGUGAACUAUGCGUGGAUAGGGUGAAGCCAGAGGAAACUCUGGUGGAGGCUCGCAGCGGUUCUGACGUGCAAAUCGAUCGUCAAAUCUGCGCAUGGGGGCGAAAGACUAAUCGAACCAUCUAGUAGCUGGUUACCGCC
This 938-nucleotide ribosomal RNA is filed under the name Pestalotiopsis maculiformans. RNAcentral describes it as "eukaryotic LSU rRNA". It matches the Rfam family "Eukaryotic large subunit ribosomal RNA", at positions 1 to 962 of the family's 3401-position model. Lineage: Eukaryota; Fungi; Ascomycota; Sordariomycetes; Amphisphaeriales; Sporocadaceae. The record is from RNAcentral.